AGAGUUUGAUCCUGGCUCAGGAUGAACGCUAGCGACAGGCUUAACACAUGCAAGUCGAGGGGCAGCGGUGGUGAAGGCUUGCCUUUACCAGCCGGCGACCGGCGCACGGGUGAGUAACACGUAUGCAACCUGCCUGCCACAGCCGGAUAAUCGGGAGAAAUUCCGUCUAAUACGGCAUAAUGCAUCGACGGGACAUCCUGUUGGUGCCAAAGGUUGAUUCCGGUGGCGGAUGGGCAUGCGUCGCAUUAGUUAGUUGGCGGUGUAACGGACCACCAAGACGACGAUGCGUAGGGGUUCUGAGAGGAAGGUCCCCCACACUGGUACUGAGACACGGACCAGACUCCUACGGGAGGCAGCAGUGAGGAAUAUUGGUCAAUGGGCGGGAGCCUGAACCAGCCAAGUCGCGUGAGGGAUGACGGCCCUAUGGGUUGUAAACCUCUUUUGCCGGGGAGCAAAGUGCCGCACGUGUGCGGUUUGGAGAGUACCCGGAGAAAAAGCAUCGGCUAACUCCGUGCCAGCAGCCGCGGUAAUACGGAGGAUGCGAGCGUUAUCCGGAUUUAUUGGGUUUAAAGGGUGCGUAGGCGGACGCUUAAGUCAGCGGUAAAAUUGCGGGGCUCAACCUCGUCGAGCCGUUGAAACUGGGUGCCCUUGAGUGGGCGAGAAGUACGCGGAAUGCGUGGUGUAGCGGUGAAAUGCAUAAAUAUCACGCAGAACUCGGAUUGGCGAAGGCAGCGUACCGGCGGCCCAACUGCCGGUGAAGCACGAAGGCGUGGGUAUCGAACAGGAUUGGAUACCCUGGUAGUCCACGCAGUAAACGAUGAAUGCUAAUUGUCCGGGGCGAUUGAGUUCUGGGUGACACAGCGAAAGCGUUAAGCAUUCCACCUGGGGAGUACGCCGGCAACGGUGAAACUCAAAGGAAUUGACGGGGGCCCGCACAAGCGGAGGAACAUGUGGUUUAAUUCGAUGAUACGCGAGGAACCUUACCCGGGCUCAAACGCAGGAGGGAUGUUUUUGAAAGGAGGCAGCCAGCAAUGGUCUCCUGCGAGGUGCUGCAUGGUUGUCGUCAGCUCGUGCCGUGAGGUGUCGGCUUAAGUGCCAUAACGAGCGCAACCCCUACCUACAGUUGCCAUCGCGUGAUGGCGGGCACUCUGUGGGGACUGCCUGCGCAAGCAGUGAGGAAGGCGGGGAUGACGUCAAAUCAGCACGGCCCUUACGUCCGGGGCGACACACGUGUUACAAUGGCAGGUACAGCGGGAAGCCACCCGGCGACGGGGCGCGGAACCCGAAAACCUGUCUCAGUUCGGAUUGGAGUCUGCAACCCGACUCCAUGAAGCUGGAUUCUGCUAGUAAUCGCAGCAUCAGCCAUCGGCGCGGGUGAAUACGUUCCCGGGCCUUGCACACACCGCCCGUCA
This 1412-nucleotide ribosomal RNA is filed under the name uncultured bacterium. RNAcentral describes it as "16S ribosomal RNA". It matches the Rfam family "Bacterial small subunit ribosomal RNA". The record is from RNAcentral.